AUUGAACGCUGGCGGCAGGCCUAACACAUGCAAGUCGAGCGGAUGAAGGGAGCUUGCUCCUGGAUUCAGCGGCGGACGGGUGAGUAAUGCCUAGGAAUCUGCCUGGUAGUGGGGGAUAACGUCCGGAAACGGGCGCUAAUACCGCAUACGUCCUGAGGGAGAAAGUGGGGGAUCUUCGGACCUCACGCUCUCAGAUGAGCCUAGGUCGGAUUAGCUAGUUGGUGGGGUAAAGGCCUACCAAGGCGACGAUCCGUAACUGGUCUGAGAGGAUGAUCAGUCACACUGGAACUGAGACACGGUCCAGACUCCUACGGGAGGCAGCAGUGGGGAAUAUUGGACAAUGGGCGAAAGCCUGAUCCAGCCAUGCCGCGUGUGUGAAGAAGGUCUUCGGAUUGUUAAGCACUUUAAGUUGGGAGGAAGGGCAGUAAGUUAAUACCUUGCUGUUUUGACGUUACCAACAGAAUAAGCACCGGCUAACUUCGUG
Molecule: ribosomal RNA, 484 nt
Filed under: uncultured bacterium
Lineage: Bacteria
Description: partial 16S ribosomal RNA
Rfam family: Bacterial small subunit ribosomal RNA
Source: RNAcentral